Molecule: long non-coding RNA, 2526 nt
Organism: Equus asinus (donkey)
Lineage: Eukaryota; Metazoa; Chordata; Mammalia; Perissodactyla; Equidae
Source: Ensembl
ACCUUUAUUGUAGAGUUAAGUGGUUAACACACCGCCAUAUUACAGCAUUAGAGCAUUCUGAACCCGACUAUGUACUUAACUUUACCAGUGUGUGUAUGUUUUCAUGUUUUCAUGCUACUAAUUAACAUCCUUUUUUUUCAGCUUGAAGAACUCCUUUCAGCAUUUCUUAUAAGGCAAGUCUAGUGGUGAUCAACUCCUUCAGCUUUUGUUUGUUGGGAAAAUGUUUAUCUCACCUUCAUUUCUGAAGGACAACUUUGACAGCAUUAUGUUGUAGGUACUUCAUGUGCUAUUACAGAAGAUUUAUUACCAUUAAAAAACUACUUCUUCAAAUGAGAAAACUGACAGCUGAGAGUUUGAAGAAAUCUGCCAAUUUUACAAGUGAAUAAAUGUUAGCGCUCACAUUCAAACUCAGAACUUUAGGAUUCCUUGGAAAUCCUUCAACAUGCUCCUUAGGGAUGACGGAUACCUACUGGGUGGAGUCCUCUCCUUCUUGAGACAACUUUUCAACCAGAGUAGCGAUUGUAGAUGAAUUCCUAACCCCUGGUACCUGUGAAUGUGACUUUAUUUGGAAAUAGGAUCUUUGCAGAUGUAAUCAAGUUAAAAUGAGUGUCGGCCCUAAUCCAAUAACUGAUAUCCAUAUAAGAAGAGGGAUAUUUGGACUUAGACACAGAGGAGACACAGUGGGGAGAACACCAUGUGAAGAUGGAGACAGAAAUUGAAGUGAUGGAUCUAAAAGCCAAGGAAUACCAAAGAGGAAUGGCAAACACGAGAAGCUAAGAGAGAAGCAUGGAACAGAUUCUUACUCAGGGCCUCCAGAAGGAACCAACCUACUAACACCUGGAUUUCAGAAUUCUAGUCUCCAGAACUGUGAGAGAAUAAAUUUAUACCAUUUUAAGUGACUCGGUUUGUGGCAUUUUGUUAUGGCAGUCCUAGAAAACUAAAACAGUAGCUUUCCUUUGAUUUGUCUUAUGUCUGCAUAACAUGACACUUGCAGGAAGAAUUGACUUACUUGUGAAAUGUUUAGAAACCGUGACUCUCUUCCAUUGAUGGCGGUGGUAGGUGAGGAAAAGCAGUGGGGCUCUUUGCCUCUGAAUAAAACUCUUUUGUUAGAGUAGCAGUAUGUUCUAAGUAUUUUACAGUAUUUCUAGUAAUGUGUUUUUUCAUUUGAUAAAUUUUAAUUACUGUUCCCUGUCCUCGCUUCCAUGGUCCAUUCUCUGUACAGCUGGGACAAAUUACAAUUUCAAUGAUACUACGUUAUACUGUGCUCAAAACCACUCACCUUCACAGACACCCUAGCUAAUGGACCAAGGAAGUGCUUUGACUCUCCUUUCUUUCAAAUGAGUUCCUUUCCAGAAUAGUAUACUGCCUGGGAAGCUAAGCAGGAGCCAUUAUUCCCAGACUGUUCUGGGGCCGCUCAUCAAUCCCAAGAGGCCCAGCCAUGUUUUUUACUACAAGGUGCAUGAAGUUCUUAUGGAAAUAAAACCAGUAGGCCCACCUUCCACUCCUGCCCCUUAAGGCAUGCCUUGAAUACGUUUUUUCACAUAUUACUAGAAAUCACUGGAAAAAAAUUUAGGUAGUAUGCAAAAUUUUGUUUUAGACACCAUGAAUAAAGAUAAGUUGCUGUUUCGUUUGUAAGGAAAAAGCAGGCAGCAUUAUUGUAUAAUCUUAUUUAAGGGCAGUGUAUCAUUUCCAAAUCCAGGAAGUCAUAGUUUCCUACUGGUACUGGCUAAAAAGCAGUAGUUGAAUGGAUUAGUAGAGCUAAUUAGAUCCAUUUAAAAUUAUUGUUUUUACUCUUUUCAAUUAAGAGUAUAUUUAUUUUCUUAGUAAUAUUUCAACACAGCAAUUAUAGUUUAAAUAAACAAGUGAAAGAAUGCAGACACUUAUUCAAAAGAGAUGCUCAUAACAUUGUUUUAAAUUCUUAAAAUUUAUAGCUGUGUUCAGUGAAUUCCAGUGGGAUUUAGUGAGUUUAUUUCCUUUUUGGUUUUAAUUAGGAAACCCUACUGGAAUUGUGAAUAGCUGUACAAGCUAGAGGAAUGGGUAUGUUUUACUUGAUUAUAUUGGAUGUUAGUGAUUUUUUCUUUAAUAAAAUUUCAGUGAUGUUAUGGUAUUAGUUGAGGUUUCUUUUUUUCUUAAGAAUGGUAGAAAUGAAACCAAAUAUUUACUUAAAGACAUUUUGAAUGUUGCAAAAGUAUGUGCUUAUUGAGAAAGUUGAGUUUUCUCUAAGAAAAAACCUCUAACUUCUAUGUUUUGACUGCAUAUCAGUUUGAGAUUGGGGCCUUGUGAAACUCCAACUAAACAAAAUAAGUAUUCAGAAAAACAUUCUUUUAUUUGUGGUGGUGAGCAGAGGCAAGACAGAGGGGAAAGGGCUUGGAAUAGAUGAACAAUUUGCUUAGAUUUUCUAGAAGGGCCACUUAGAAACUGUUAGGAGCAUGGACUCAGCCACGAAACUUAGGAUCCUCAGUGAUUCAUGGUCAUUUUGGGGUUUCAACAGAAACUUUGUUCCUGCAUAAUUGUUGCUCUCUGACU